CAGACUAUACGUUCAGGGAUCAUCUCUAUAGCUCGUUACUAGAGGAGUUUCUCUGUGUAGAGCACCAGAAACCACAAGGAGGAGGUGCAGUGUUCUCUCCUGAGCCUGAAGCCGGCUGGGGUGCUGCUACUGGCAGCUGCCUUUUCCCACUGAUGAUUGUUCUGCUCUGCCUCUGGCAGAGUUAGAGGGGGAAAGGACAAUCUGAGUGGC
Molecule: small nucleolar RNA, 210 nt
Organism: Nannospalax galili (Upper Galilee mountains blind mole rat)
Lineage: Eukaryota; Metazoa; Chordata; Mammalia; Rodentia; Spalacidae
Gene: U3
Rfam family: Small nucleolar RNA U3
About the family: Small nucleolar RNAs (snoRNAs) are involved in the processing and modification of rRNA in the nucleolus. There are two main classes of snoRNAs: the box C/D class, and the box H/ACA class. U3 snoRNA is a member of the box C/D class.
Source: Ensembl